RNAcentral lists this long non-coding RNA (966 nucleotides) under Fukomys damarensis (Damara mole-rat). RNAcentral describes it as "lncRNA (ENSFDAG00000022071.1)". Lineage: Eukaryota; Metazoa; Chordata; Mammalia; Rodentia; Bathyergidae. The record is from RNAcentral.
GUUUUUGUCAUUGUGCUUUCCAUUUAAUAGGAACUAAGUUUAAAAUGACAUUCACAUAGACUUCCAUAAAUUAGCCCUCUGCCCUGGAGCCUGAGUCUGCAGAGAUCCCUUCCAGGUUGUGGCCUGAGAACAGCAGUGACAUUGGUCAGCUGGACAGCUUGUCCCUUUCCAUUUCCCAGGUGAUGACACUGAGGAAGAGAGAAUGGCCCACAUCAUUUUGCAAGGAUGCAUUCCUGACCAAGAAAGUGUCCGUUAAUGCAAACCCAGGCAUGAAGAUUUUUGGACCUGGCUUUUUAUCCAGACCCCUGACUCUCCUCCACCUUCCCUCCUUCCUUCAUAUGGCACACACAGGAGAUGGGGAACCUGCUGGCCAAGGUGACUGUCAGUGUUCAGGUCAGUGCCCAUUCUGUCCUUGCUCUCUGAGGUCACAGGGACAGUGACUGAAUCAUCAGGAAUCAUGCCAGCACAAGCAGGUUUUUUAGGAAGGUGACUCCUCUCUGUCCCUCGAGGGCUCUUGAGCUGGUGUUAUACCUUUCUGAGGUCAGGCUGUUUUCCCUGCAUGCAGGCUGUGAGUUUCAACACUGAAUGUGCAGGGAGAGUGUGUAGGCUCCAGAGCCUGUAUGGCUCCUGACCACUGAUGAGACCUGGCCAAAACUUCAGCUUUUAUUUGCUUUCUUAAGAUUGGGGAGACUGAAGGAUAUCUGGAAGCCUUUCAAAAGUCAGAACCACUUUAAUAUCACUCCAAACUACUCAUGACAUUUUAAACUUGAUUAUGCAAAGAACUUCAUCUCUGGGAUGUGGAAUUACCCAUUGCCAAAAAUAACUCCACUGAGACCUAGAAUCUGUUUCUGGUGCUGAGAAAAUGGAUGUGAGUGGAAUUAGUCCCCACUCUGAGGAAAGAUGACAUGUGUGGUUCCUGGUCUAUUUGGAGGCAGGCACCACCUGAUCUUAGAUGGUUUAACCCGG